RNAcentral lists this ribosomal RNA (253 nucleotides) under uncultured bacterium. Its description in RNAcentral is "partial 16S ribosomal RNA". It matches the Rfam family "Bacterial small subunit ribosomal RNA", at positions 524 to 776 of the family's 1533-position model. The record is from RNAcentral.
UACAGAGGUCUCAAGCGUUGUUCGGAUUCAUUGGGCGUAAAGGGUGCGUAGGUGGCGCCGUAAGUCGGGUGUGAAAUUUCGGAGCUUAACUCCGAAACUGCAUUCGAUACUGCGGUGCUUGAGGACUGGAGAGGAGACUGGAAUUCAUGGUGUAGCAGUGAAAUGCGUAGAGAUCAUGAGGAAGACCAGUGGCGAAGGCGGGUCACUGGACAGUUCCUGACACUGAGGCACGAAGGCCAGGGGAGCAAACGGG